AAGUCGUAACAAGGUUUCCGUAGGUGAACCUGCGGAAGGAUCAUUACUGAACUGUCAAACGGGUUGUUGCUGGCCCUCAUAGGGGGCAUGUGCACGCUCUGUUUACACAUCCACUCACACCUGUGCACCCUCUGUAGUUCUAUGGUCUGGGGGACCCUGUCUUCCUUCUGUGGUUCUACGUCUUUACACACACACUGUAAUAAAGUUUUAUGGAAUGUACAUCGCGUCUAACGCAAUACAAUACAACUUUCAGCAACGGAUCUCUUGGCUCUC
RNAcentral lists this unclassified non-coding RNA (273 nucleotides) under fungal sp. Its description in RNAcentral is "partial internal transcribed spacer region". The stretch from base 1 to 46 matches the Rfam family "Eukaryotic small subunit ribosomal RNA", at positions 1786 to 1831 of the family's 1831-position model. The record is from RNAcentral. Lineage: Eukaryota; Fungi.